RNAcentral lists this ribosomal RNA (460 nucleotides) under uncultured bacterium. Its description in RNAcentral is "partial 16S ribosomal RNA". It matches the Rfam family "Bacterial small subunit ribosomal RNA", at positions 338 to 795 of the family's 1533-position model. The record is from RNAcentral.
CCUACGGGGGACAGCAGUGAGGAAUAUUGGUCAAUGGACGGGAGACUGAACCAGCCAAGCCGCGUGAAGGAAGAAGGCACUGUGAGUUGUAAACUGCUUUUGUCCGGGGACAAAAGCAGGGACGUGUAUCCGGAUGAGAGUAUCGUAAGAAAAAGCAUCGGCUAACUCCGUGCCAGCAGCCGCGGUAAUACGGAGGAUUCAAGCGUUAUCCGGAUUUAUUGGGUUUAAAGGGUGCGCAGGCGGUCGGAUAAGGUAGAGGUGAAAGCCCGGGGCUCAACCUCGGAAUUGCCUUUGAAACUGUUCGUCUCGAGGGUGGGAGAGGUAGGCGGAAUGCGUGGUGUAGCGGUGAAAUGCAUAGAUAUCAUGCAGAACACCGAUUGCGAAGGCAGCUUGCCGGGUCCCCACUGACGCUGAGGCACGAAAGCGUGGGGAGCGAACAGGAUUAGAUACCCUAGUAGUC